Molecule: ribosomal RNA, 529 nt
Filed under: uncultured bacterium
Lineage: Bacteria
Description: bacterial SSU rRNA
Rfam family: Bacterial small subunit ribosomal RNA
Source: RNAcentral
UAGAGUUUGAUCCUGGCUCAGGACAAACGCUGGCGGCGUGCCUAACACAUGCAAGUCGAGCGCGAAAGGGACUUCGGUCCCGAGUAAAGCGGCGAACGGGUGAGUAACACGUGGGCAACCUGCCUCAAGGACUGGGAUAACACCGGGAAACCGGUGCUAAUACCGGGCGAUGUCGUCUGGCGCAAGCCGGCCGACCAAAUGGUAGCUUCGGCCUCCGCCUUGAGAUGGGCCCGCGUCCUAUCAGCUUGUUGGUGAGGUAAUGGCUCACCAAGGCUACGACGGGUAGCUGGUCUGAGAGGAUGAUCAGCCACACUGGGACUGAGAUACGGCCCAGACUCCUACGGGAGGCAGCAGUGGGGAAUUUUGCGCAAUGGGCGAAAGCCUGACGCAGCAACGCCGCGUGAGCGAAGAAGGCCUUCGGGUUGUAAAGCUCUGUCAGGGGGAAAGAAGGCACCUGGGUUAAUAGCCCAAGGGCUGACGGUACCCCCAAAGGAAGCCACGGCUAACUACGUGCCAGCAGCCCCGGUCA